AAUGAGAGGGUUUUUUUUUUUUUUUUGGUGCCUUCCAUAUUGUUUACCCUUCCUCUUUCUCUAUAACAUGUCUGUGCUAUUGAGAAUACAUGUUUUUGUUUUGUUUUUCUGAUAUGUAAUGUCACAUCUCCAUUAUAUAAAUAUAUAUUCCAUUAGAUUGACCUAUACAUUGUUGCUAUAAGAAGUGAUUAGCCAUUUUGGAUUGGAGUUGUUCAUGUUGAACUAUGUUUUAUAGAAUUAUGAAAUUAUUUCUGGAAAGUACCCUGGCUAUUAAAACUUUGAAAUAUAA
This is a non-coding RNA of Biomphalaria pfeifferi, 289 nucleotides long. The record is from the annotation of a GenBank genome assembly. Lineage: Eukaryota; Metazoa; Mollusca; Gastropoda; Planorbidae.